This 224-nucleotide ribosomal RNA is filed under the name uncultured bacterium. Its description in RNAcentral is "partial 16S ribosomal RNA". It matches the Rfam family "Bacterial small subunit ribosomal RNA", at positions 107 to 334 of the family's 1533-position model. The record is from RNAcentral.
UGAGUAAUGUAUGGGGAUCUGCCUGAUGGCGGGGGAUAACUACUGGAAACGGUAGCUAAUACCGCAUAAUGUCUACGGACCAAAGCGGGGGACCUCCGGGCCUCGCGCCAUCAGAUGAACCCAUAUGGGAUUAGCUAGUAGGUAAGGUAACGGCUUACCUAGGCGACGAUCCCUAGCUGGUCUGAGAGGAUGAUCAGCCACACUGGGACUGAGACACGGCCCAG